AAUGAAGUGCCUGAAUAAAGGAAUAUCUUGAUAGGGUAAAUAAUGUGGUUCCACCUUCAUUA
Molecule: transfer RNA, 62 nt
Filed under: Madachauliodes sp.
Lineage: Eukaryota; Metazoa; Arthropoda; Insecta; Megaloptera; Corydalidae
Description: tRNA-Ile
Source: RNAcentral